This 535-nucleotide ribosomal RNA is filed under the name uncultured archaeon. RNAcentral describes it as "bacterial SSU rRNA". It matches the Rfam family "Bacterial small subunit ribosomal RNA", at positions 509 to 1050 of the family's 1533-position model. The record is from RNAcentral.
CAGCCGCCGCGGUAAUACGUAGGGGGCAAGCGUUAUCCGGAUUCAUUGGGCGUAAAGCGCGCGUAGGCGGCCUGUUAGGUCGGAAGUCAAAUCCGGGGGCUCAACCCCCGUCCGCUUCCGAUACCGGCAGGCUUGAGUUUGGUAGGGGAAGGUGGAAUUCCCAGUGUAGCGGUGGAAUGCGCAGAUAUUGGGAAGAACACCGGUGGCGAAGGCGGCCUUCUGGGCCAUAACUGACGCUGAGGCGCGAAAGCUAGGGGAGCGAACAGGAUUAGAUACCCUGGUAGUCCUAGCCGUAAACGAUGGACACUAGGUGUGGGGAGAUGUUCUCUCCGUGCCGCAGCUAACGCAUUAAGUGUCCCGCCUGGGGAGUACGGCCGCAAGGCUAAAACUCAAAGGAAUUGACGGGGGCCCGCACAAGCAGCGGAGCAUGUGGCUUAAUUCGAAGCAACGCGAAGAACCUUACCUGGGUUUGACAUAUAGGUGAAGCGGCGGAAACGUCGUGGCCGAAAGGAGCCUAUACAGGUGGUGCAUGGCC